RNAcentral lists this ribosomal RNA (430 nucleotides) under uncultured bacterium. Its description in RNAcentral is "bacterial SSU rRNA". It matches the Rfam family "Bacterial small subunit ribosomal RNA", at positions 354 to 775 of the family's 1533-position model. The record is from RNAcentral.
GUGGGGAAUAUUGCGCAAUGGGGGAAACCCUGACGCAGCGACGCCGCGUGAGCGAUGAAGGCCUUAGGGUUGUAAAGCUCUGUUUUAAGGGACGAAUGUUACGGGGAGUAAUAUGCCCUGUAAAUGACGGUACCUUAAGAGGGAGCCCCGGCUAACUACGUGCCAGCAGCCGCGGUAAGACGUAGGGGGCGAGCGUUGUCCGGAAUUACUGGGCGUAAAGAGCACGUAGGCGGGACUUUAAGUCAGGUGUGAAAAACCGGGGCUCAACCUCGGGGUGGCACUUGAAACUGGGGUUCUUGAGGGCAGGAGAGGAAAGUAGAAUUCCUGGUGUAGCGGUGAAAUGCGUAGAAAUCAGGAGGAAUACCAGUGGCGAAGGCGACUUUCUGGACUGACCCUGACGCUGAGGUGCGAAAGCGUGGGUAGCAAACAG